This is a long non-coding RNA of Rhopalosiphum padi (bird cherry-oat aphid), 610 nucleotides long. RefSeq lists it as uncharacterized. Lineage: Eukaryota; Metazoa; Arthropoda; Insecta; Hemiptera; Aphididae. The transcript has 4 exons. The record is from RefSeq and is a predicted model, not a curated record.
UAUUUCAUAUCUAUUUCCAGUUUUACAUUCGUAUUAGUAUUUAAGUUUCAACUGCAAAGUGGUUUCACAAAUGUUGUAAUAAGAAUGAUGAUUGUUUGUUAGUUUUUGUUUGAUUAUUUCCAUUUCUGAAUUGCUCAGUGUUUUCCCGUACUAGUUGUAAUAUAAAGAUUUUCGUUUCAGUUAUGGCAUAUGGUAGUAAGGCAGAUCACUUGAUGCAUGCUGAGACGUGAAUUCACAUUCCUACCACUUGGCAAGGUAUCAACAUCCUACAAUGAACAAUGGACUAGAAGAUUCUAAUAAUAAUUAUGGCUUUAUGCAAUAUGGCAGUAUAAUAGUAGAUCACUCAAAGCAUGCUGAGACAUUAAUUAACAUUUAAGGAAUUUGGGAAAGUUUCAACAUCCUACAUUGAACAUGGACUUGAAGAUUUUGAAAAUAAUAAUGAUUUUAAGCAAUGUAGUUUGUAAUGAAUAUAAAAUAUGGUAGUAAGGCAGAUCACUUGAUGCAUGCUGAGACGUGAAUUCACAUUCCUACCACUUGGCAAGGUAUCAACAUCCUACAAUGAACAAUGGACUAGAAGAUUCUAAUAAUAAUUAUGGCUUUAUGCAAUGUA